Molecule: ribosomal RNA, 491 nt
Filed under: uncultured bacterium
Lineage: Bacteria
Description: bacterial SSU rRNA
Rfam family: Bacterial small subunit ribosomal RNA
Source: RNAcentral
ACUAAAUAGAUACCCAGGUAGUCCACGCCGUAAACGAUGAAUGCCCAGCCGUUGGAAAAGUUUACUUUUCAGUGGCGCAGCUAAACGCUUUAAGCAUUCCGCCUGGGGAGUACGGUCGCAAGAUUAAAACUCAAAGGAAUUGACGGGGGCCCGGCACAAGCGGUGGAGCAUGUGGUUUAAUUCGACGCAACGCGCAGAACCUUACCAGCCCUUGACAUCCCGGUCGCGGUUUCCAGAGAUGGAUUCCUUCAGUUCGGCUGGACCGGUGACAGGUGCUGCAUGGCUGUCGUCAGCUCGUGUCGUGAGAUGUUGGGUUAAAGUCCCGCAACGAGCGCAACCCUCGUCCUUAGUUGCCAUCAUUCAGUUGGGCACUCUAAGGAGACUGCCGGUGAUAACGCCGCGAGGAAGUGGGAUGACGUCAAGUCCUCAUGGCCCUUAGGGCUGGCUACGACACGUGCUACAAUGGCGUGACAAUGGGAUGCAAAGGGUGA